This 96-nucleotide signal recognition particle RNA is filed under the name Deltaproteobacteria bacterium. RNAcentral describes it as "signal recognition particle sRNA small type". It matches the Rfam family "Bacterial small signal recognition particle RNA". Rfam says of the family: The signal recognition particle (SRP) is a universally conserved ribonucleoprotein involved in the co-translational targeting of proteins to membranes. Archaeal SRP consists of a 7S RNA and homologues of the eukaryotic SRP19 and SRP54 proteins. The record is from RNAcentral. Lineage: Bacteria; Pseudomonadati; Myxococcota; Myxococcia.
CUCUCGGCUUCGUGUGCGUUCGCCCGCUAACCCCGUCAGAUCCGGAAGGAAGCAGCGGUCCGCGGAUACGGACGUGACGCGAUACGUCGGGAGGUU